This is a small nuclear RNA of Hyaena hyaena (striped hyena), 109 nucleotides long. NCBI's taxonomy places the organism in Eukaryota, Metazoa, Chordata, Mammalia, Carnivora, Hyaenidae. The record is from RefSeq and is a predicted model, not a curated record.
AUGCUUGCUUCAGCAGACUAUAUAUACUAAAAUUAGAACAAUACAGAGAAGAUUAGCCCGGCCUCUGUGUAAGGAUGACAUGCAAAUUUGUAAAGCAUUUCCUAUCUUA